ACUUUAAUCAACUCACUCAAAUCAUCUCGCUAAAACACAAAUACUUGAUCCGAACCAACUUUAUUUACAAUAAUUAGGCCCAUUUCUGUAUUGUACACAAACAUAUGUAACCAUUACAUGAUAUUAGGAAUCAUUGCUAGUAGUUUCAGUCUUUCUAGUAGUCGUGGUAGUAGUAGUACGUACAUUAGGAAUGAAUUCAGGAGGAUCUGGGUCUGAAGGAGGAAAUCUUGUUGCUGUAUUUGUAAAGCCAGAACAUGCCCCAACCUCUGGUUGAAAAGUUAGUAGUUCGGUGUAAAGACCAGGAUGGCUUGGGUGGCUUUUAGAAACAUCAACUUUCUUUCUUUUAGAUGAUGAUGAUGAUGAUGAUGAUGAUGAUGAUGAGCUUGAGCAACAUUUGGGAUCUUCCUCAUCAUUACCAUUAGUGCCUCCAGAAUUACUUUCAUCUGUAUUAGAGAUGGGAUUGUAAGCUAACAAGACAGGGACGCCAGAUCCUGCACCUUCAUUUUGAUUUUGAAGUUCAUCAUCUUCAUUUUCAGAAGAAGCUGAACAACAGCAAAGAAGACUUCUAAGUUUUGGACAACGAGGUGCUUUUAUUUGCAGAAUUGAGAAUUUAUAUUCGGAUGGAUGUACUUCAUUAAUGGUGAAAAAGGCGGAAUUGAUUAUUAGAAUAAGAAGAAUUGCAUAGAAAUAAUUUGUUAUAAAAGUCAUUUGAUUUUUUUUCUUUUGAAAAAAAUACGGUCGAU
RNAcentral lists this non-coding RNA (743 nucleotides) under Cryptosporidium parvum. The record is from RNAcentral. Lineage: Eukaryota; Apicomplexa; Conoidasida; Eucoccidiorida; Cryptosporidiidae.